UUAUACAACUUUUAACAACGGAUCUCUUGGCUCUCGCAUCGAUGAAGAACGCAGCGAAAUGCGAUAAGUAAUGUGAAUUGCAGAAUUCAGUGAAUCAUCGAAUCUUUGAACGCACCUUGCGCUCCUUGGUAUUCCGAGGAGCAUGCCUGUU
RNAcentral lists this ribosomal RNA (151 nucleotides) under Tricholoma matsutake. RNAcentral describes it as "5.8S ribosomal RNA". It matches the Rfam family "5.8S ribosomal RNA". From Rfam's summary of the family: 5.8S ribosomal RNA (5.8S rRNA) is a component of the large subunit of the eukaryotic ribosome. It is transcribed by RNA polymerase I as part of the 45S precursor that also contains 18S and 28S rRNA. Lineage: Eukaryota; Fungi; Basidiomycota; Agaricomycetes; Agaricales; Tricholomataceae. The record is from RNAcentral.